RNAcentral lists this ribosomal RNA (253 nucleotides) under uncultured bacterium. Its description in RNAcentral is "partial 16S ribosomal RNA". It matches the Rfam family "Bacterial small subunit ribosomal RNA", at positions 524 to 776 of the family's 1533-position model. The record is from RNAcentral.
UACGGAGGGUGCGAGCGUUGUCCGGAAUCAUUGGGCGUAAAGGGCGCGUAGGUGGUUGGGUAAGUCUAUGGUGAAAGCGCGGAGCUCAACUCCGCGUCUGCCGUGGAUACUGCUUGACUGGAGCACUGUAGAGGCAGGCGGAAUUCCGGGAGUAGCGGUGGAAUGCGUAGAGAUCCGGAAGAACACCAGGGGCGAAGGCGGCCUGCUGGGCAGUUGCUGACACUGAUGCGCGACAGCGUGGGGAGCAAACAGG